Molecule: long non-coding RNA, 2298 nt
Filed under: Spirodela polyrhiza (greater duckweed)
Lineage: Eukaryota; Viridiplantae; Streptophyta; Magnoliopsida; Alismatales; Araceae
Description: long non-coding RNA (SPOL_LNC002260)
Source: RNAcentral
GCAGAGUGAGAAGGACUAGUGGCCCAACAAAGGGGGGGAUCGAUGGCGGUCUGCCAAAUGCCACGACCGGCUCCGCAUUCUCGUUCACCACAGGCCGCUCACUCAUGCCGCCAUCAUCUUCGUGCCUGUUCCUGACUGAUAUCGUCAUUGCUCCUGUGUAAUCAUCACAGAGAGAAACAAAGAAAGGAAACAAAAAAAAAAAAGAAAUUGAAUUAAAACAGUUCAUUGCAAGCAAAAAGCAAAAUGAGAUGAUGAUCCACCCCCAUUAGUGUUGACGCACUCAUCUCUUACUUGAUGUGCCUCCGAGUGGAUGGAUUUUUUUCAGAGUGUUCUUCACAGGAAACUUGGUGAUUCUAAGCAUUGUUGGGCACUAGACUUUGAUGAAUUGGGGAAGCUGCUGAUCCUGUAAUGCAGACAUAAACAAGGGCAGACCAGGGUUAACUGGUGAUGGAAUAUGGUACAAAGUCACAAUGUAUUUUGCUCCAAUUAACUAUCUUUUUGAGAAAAGUGAUAGGCGUUAGCUUAUAAUAGCGUAUUAUCUUGCAUUGAUACUAUUAUAGAUCAUAUAACAGAAUAAUGCCGUACUGUCCUCAGGAAAAAAAAAAGACUAUAGAGAAUCUGAUGAAGAUCCACGAAAGAAUUAUUUGUUUUAAAAAAUAUAACGUUAAUGGCGUUAAUAUAACAAUAUAGGAUGCUAAACUAAGGAACUCGACAAGUUUUUUGUCGUAAGACCAAGUUCAAACUUAAAAUGUGAGUUUCUAAAAAACUGAUGAAGACUAGCUGAAGGCUGGUUAGGAGCUUGGGGAGAGAAUACAAUGUGUUUGGCGAGGAGUGGAUAAUAAGAAAAUCCACUGUUAGAAAGAUGGAAAUGGAUGAGGUGAAUUGAUGUAAACGAAAGGCGAUGGUUAUUGAUAGGUACAAUAUGCCUUCACAAUUAGCGACAAUGAUUAUGUUACAGUAUAUCCCAGUGGCCAUGCACCUGUAGAUUCUCAGGUUCUUGAUUCUAACUGUCGUGUAAAUUGGAAUGCUAAAGCUAUUCAAAGAUUUACGAAGACUAACACAUGCAAAUUUUAGAUGGACAGAGAAGCCAGAUUUAAUCCAAUAGUCUUAGACCUCAGACUGAUGAUAUCAUAGACCAACUAGCUAGUUCUCUAAUCUUCUCCAUGUCCCAUCUGAGGAGAUGGCACCAUCAAAGACACAUAAUGCUGAGAAAUGAGAAGUCGAUGGAAUUCAAUACUAGGGCUAUGGGUGGCUGAGAUGUCAUACAAACCGAAUAAAGAAUGGGCUUCAGUGGUCGCAUCUUCAAGGACCUUUGUCUCAUGAUACCCUUGCACACAACUCAGGUUAGCAAUCGCAACGACACCAUCUUCAUCAAUUUUUGUAAACUAUUUAAUUUUUUGUUAAUCUAGAAAAAUAAUUAGUCAAUGUUGGAAAGCUAGCAUGUGUCGUUGGAAGGCACCAAGAUGGGUUCUAGAUAAUAACAACAAAAAUCUCUUGAAAGCGUCAGUUACUGUGAAUUCACAAGAUUCCAUGCUCUGCUCACCAUUAUCACUGUUUUAUAUGAAACUUACGCUCUACUGCAGCACAUAUCACUUUUCUUUGAAGAAGGAUUUCCAAAUCGUUUGAGAAAAAUUGUAUUUUUCUAGCCAAAGAAGAUCACCAAAGCAGCUCUUUAUUUGGUGAUAAAGGUGAGAGGAUUGAGAAAUUAGCAAACUACCUGAAGAAGGCCAAACAGGCAUGGACAAGAACAACGAAAGGCAGAGGAAGCCUAAUAAGCACAAGACUGCAUAAACCUUUCAAAAUGGAAAUCUAAUUUUUGUAGAUCUCUGAAAAGGUCAUUUUGAACAUUGUUGUAUUCGUUAUCAUGAACCAGAGUAAAACCAUAAAAAAUGCUCAUAACAUUGAGAUUCCAAGCUUAUAUGCCAUCAACAGUACUUCGUGUUCGAGACUUGUCAUCAUACAUGCAAAAGUAAAAAUUGAACCCAGAUCCCUCCGUAUUGCUACAUCCAUUUCCUAAGGUGCUACAAAAAGAAAGUGAAAUAUGAACCAUGAAGUUUCUCCUUGGAGAAUCCUUUAGAAUACCUUUCAGGGGAACAAUUUGGACCUUGCAACACACCCAUUGGAGUCGUUGAAGCUAAAGGGAUGGAGAAAUAACACUCAAAGCCAAAGAGAAAAUGUCAUUUAUUCAUUGGACUUUUGAUACGUGAUUUUUAUUUUGAAAAUGGGAUAUCAAACAACUUUUUGCCAACUCUUAUGGAAUACCUGAUAAGAGGAGGUAUAAACAAAGGUCACUUUAUG